Molecule: ribosomal RNA, 440 nt
Filed under: uncultured bacterium
Lineage: Bacteria
Description: partial 16S ribosomal RNA
Rfam family: Bacterial small subunit ribosomal RNA
Source: RNAcentral
CCUACGGGAGGCAGCAGUGGGGAAUAUUGCACAAUGGGGGAAACCCUGAUGCAGCGACGCCGCGUGAGUGAAGAAGUAUUUCGGUAUGUAAAGCUCUAUCAGCAGGGAAGAAAAUGACGGUACCUGAUUAAGAAGCCCCGGCUAACUACGUGCCAGCAGCCGCGGUAAUACGUAGGGGGCAAGCGUUAUCCGGAUUUACUGGGUGUAAAGGGAGCGUAGACGGCAGUACAGGUCUGGAGUGAAAUGCCGGGGCUUAACCCCGGAACUGCAUUGGAAACUGUGCGGCUGGAGUGCAGGAGAGGUAAGUGGAAUUCCUAGUGUAGCGGUGAAAUGCGUAGAUAUUAGGAGGAACACCAGUGGCGAAGGCGGCUUACUGGACUGUAACUGACGUUGAGGCUCGAAAGCGUGGGGAGCAAACAGGAUUAGAUACCCCUGUAGUC